UACGUAGGGGGCAAGCGUUGUCCGGAUUUAUUGGGCGUAAAGAGCGUGUAGGCGGCCAGACAGGUCAGCUGUGAAAACUCGAGGCUCAACCUCGAGACGCCGAUGGAAACCCUCCAGCUAGAGUCCGGAAGAGGAGAGUGGAAUUCCUGGUGUAGCGGUGAAAUGCGCAGAUAUCGGGAAGAACACCCGUGGCGAAGGCGGCUCUCUGGGACGGUACUGACGCUGAGACGCGAAAGCGUGGGGAGCGAACAGG
RNAcentral lists this ribosomal RNA (253 nucleotides) under uncultured bacterium. RNAcentral describes it as "partial 16S ribosomal RNA". It matches the Rfam family "Bacterial small subunit ribosomal RNA", at positions 524 to 776 of the family's 1533-position model. The record is from RNAcentral.